GGGAGCCGUGUGAGGGGAAACUUUCACGCACGGUUCUGAAGACCAGUCCCUUAUGGCGACAUAAGGGGCUGAGUUUAAC
Molecule: non-coding RNA, 79 nt
Organism: Beggiatoa sp.
Lineage: Bacteria; Pseudomonadati; Pseudomonadota; Gammaproteobacteria; Thiotrichales; Thiotrichaceae
Source: Rfam